This is a long non-coding RNA of Corvus hawaiiensis (hawaiian crow), 2409 nucleotides long. RefSeq lists it as uncharacterized. The record is from RefSeq and is a predicted model, not a curated record. The transcript is spliced from 8 exons. Lineage: Eukaryota; Metazoa; Chordata; Aves; Passeriformes; Corvidae.
GUGUGUGCCGCUGUCCCGGCGGGGGGCGGUGGGGGUUGCAGCCGCGGCUUCUUCCUUGUGCUCGGACGUUCGGGAGGCUCGCCCGCGGCGCCGCUUGCGUAGCACUCGAGGCAGGAGCUGGCGGGUGAAGCUCUCACCCUUGGAGCCGCGGCUAGAGCCAGGCGUAAGGCAGCCGUAAUCCAGCUGUGAGGCCGCAGCCGCCCGUGCACGGUGCCCUGCUGGCAGCCGCGGCGGUGCGAGGGGACGGAGGGGGCGGACUACAUAUUCCAGCAUGCCCCGCGGGAGGCUCCUUGCCGGAAGCCGCAUCCCAGGGCGCGAGGCAGGCUGGGAUCGGUAGGCGGUGGUGGCCCGCGUGGCGCUGCUGGGCCCGCGCCAUUUUGAUCCCCACCCGUUCCGGCCGGGUCUGGUGAGGGGGUGCUGCCCCUGCUGUGCCCUCAGCUGCGGCUGGGGCAGCCCCUGGCACGGUGGGACGGCCUUCAGUCCUCUGGAUUCGUGCGUGAAAUGUUGAAUAAGGUGGAGCCGCCUUGUUGACGUGGCAGAAGACAAUAACACAGCAGAAUAAAGGGAGAUAUGUUAUAAGAAAUAAACCACCCACCCCCCAAGAAAACGCACACCUCCUCCCCGGAAGCUUUUUGUGGCCUUAAGAUGCCUUUUUGUCCCCUCCAUGAAGUGCUGAUUCAUUGAACCCAUAGUACUUCUGAAAGAACAGGAAAUGCCACUAAAUAUAUCCAGGAUUCCAGGCUCUUACCUGCAAGGAAAGAUUAGGGUACGAUGGAGAGGAGGUUUUCAGCGGUGUCACGUACAUUGUACAUUAAGCCCUUCAUGGAAGGAUCAUCACAAGUAGAAGAAUACUUGGCACACACAAGUGGAUUUUCCUGAAAGCUGUAGUGGUAUGAACAGUUUCUAGUAAUGGGAAUGUGACAUGUCCUGAAGAAAGACUUCCUUGCAACAGGAAAUAUAAGAGAGAUGCUUGAAUGCUGCUUCUGAAUAGAAGGGGAAUGUUUUUUAUAGAAACAACAUAGGAACAAAUGCUUUUGGCUUAUUCAGUGAUGAAUUGGAACACUUUGUCAGAACUGCCUGACAAAUGUGGAUGAUGUAACCAGAAGGAGGUGUAACACCUGAAGAGAUGAUGUGGCUUGGAGUGGGAUGCCAUGCUUUUAAAAGCCUGCUGAAACAGCUGCAAUUUUAGAGGAUGCUGUUUUCAGAAACUGCAUGUAGACCACAAUUACUGUCUCUGCAUAUUUAAAACACUGUCUUUCCAAGCUACUGAACUGUCUUCUCUAGGAAGUAUAGCAGUAAUACUAGGGAAAAGUGUUGAGCUUCAGUACAUGGAAAACCCCUUGAUUAAUUUACCCUUUUAAAAUACCAUAUGGUACACAGUCUUGCAGAUACUGAAGAUCUGUGAUGACUCAAGAGUAGAGCUCACAGGCAGGCCCUGUAAAGACAGGGUGAAAGCAAAGAAAAAGACAAUGUCUACAGCUUGCGUCACUGUAUCUAGUGAGGGAGUGAGGAGUUGGGCAUUUGUUGACUGCCACUUCAGCAGUCAAUAAAAGAAGACUAGUACCAUAACAGUGGAACUGCCUUUUGAGGAAUACACUGGCAACAGUACUUGUUUGCUCUGUCGGGAAAAGAGGUUGGUAGUGGGAAAAGAGUUACAUACAUUAGACCUUGGGCUUCAAACAGUCACUUGAAAAGUAAUGGUGCUGUAUCCCAGUAGCAGCAUAUUUGCUGUAUUCAGCAAACUGUCAUUUCCACAGAGGAAUGAAGGAUCAUAAAUUGUUUACCAAGUAAAUUUAAAGACAACUCAUGGUGUACAAAAAAUGAAAUUGGCCUUGAAGCAUGACUGUCAAGCCUUAUUGUCAGGAAUUCUUUAUAAGGGCAGAAACACAAGAAUGGCAAAACUGAAAAUUGAUAGACACACUAUUUCUGAAUCAUUUUGAAAUGGUCUGAAAUACAUAAAACAGCCCUAUAGCUCAUGGGGUGUCCCUGUUUGUCAGUGACAAAUUCCAUGUAAAGUCCAAUUUUCUGUCAAAGCAGUAUCAUGAAGUACAAAACACUACCAGGAGCAGUAUAUAAAACAUUGGAAAUGUCAAAAAUAAGUAUCCAUCAGACUACUAAAGUGGAUGCUAAGGAUCUGACUUAACUCCAGGAGUGCAUUGGGUCAUUUAGCAUCUCCUGUGGUUUGCUUAAUAAUAAGCAGUGGCCACCUACUUUGGCUGCACCUUUUCAGCAAGGAAUGGUAAAUAAGUCUAUUAAAUACCAAGAUCUGCAGAAAUUCACUAGAAAAUAGCUUUCCAUUGCUUUCAACAGGAUUUAUUUCUGUUAACCAACAUUACUGAGAGUGGUACAUAUUUCCAUGUGCCAUGUUUUGUACAUGCUUUUGAAUAAAGAUAAUGAUGUUAACAGUCA